GCGGUGCCCGCGCCCGCUUCCAGAAGUCGUACCGUUAAGCGGUACGACCGCAUGCCACGUGGCAACUGCCGCCGUCGGGGGCGUGGGUCUGGGCGGCGCAGCGGUGCGUGGCUCGCCCCAGCUGGUUCCUCAGCCGGGGCGCUUUCGGAGGUGUCGUCGUGGUGUUGUCGUGGCUGGCGCGCCGGCCGCCGGGCGUCGGUGGCGACGGCGGCGGCUAGUCGCUGGCGGCGCGCGGGGUGGCGCAGUCGUGGGCCCGCUUCGCAGCGGCUGGCGGCUGCGGCGGCGGCGCGCGCGGCCCGCGGGGUACGGCGGGCGCCGGCGGUCGCCUGAGCCAGUGCGGCGUAGGGCGACGGCUCGGCUCGGCGCGUGUGCUUGGCGAGCCGGCCGGGGAGGGAGAGGUUUAACGCGUCUGGACGAACCGCCGUCUAGUCCAGGUGUAACUC
RNAcentral lists this long non-coding RNA (443 nucleotides) under Chlamydomonas reinhardtii. RNAcentral describes it as "long non-coding RNA (CREI_LNC001075)". Lineage: Eukaryota; Viridiplantae; Chlorophyta; Chlorophyceae; Chlamydomonadales; Chlamydomonadaceae. The record is from RNAcentral.